UCUUAUGUACAUACCUACAACAUAGUGUUAAUGCACUAGAUCCCAUUAGAACUCUGCAAUUAAGUGUGCUUGGGCUAAAGUAGUACUAGGAUGGGUGAUCAGUUGGGAAGUCCUAGUGUUUU
Molecule: non-coding RNA, 122 nt
Organism: Picea glauca (white spruce)
Lineage: Eukaryota; Viridiplantae; Streptophyta; Pinopsida; Pinales; Pinaceae
Source: Rfam